RNAcentral lists this long non-coding RNA (111 nucleotides) under Monodelphis domestica (gray short-tailed opossum). RNAcentral's name for it is "lncRNA (ENSMODG00000037818.1)". Lineage: Eukaryota; Metazoa; Chordata; Mammalia; Didelphimorphia; Didelphidae. The record is from RNAcentral.
AAGAGUUAGACACAAAUGAGUGAUUAAACAACAACAUCUCAACAAGAGAUAUAAUUUAAUUUUUACCCAGCCCAGAGGAAAAGCAUCCCUGAGGAAAAGAUAUUGAACCAG